UGCAAGUCGAACGCUGAAGCACCAGCUUGCUGGUGUGGAUGAGUGGCGAACGGGUGAGUAAUACGUGAGUAACCUGCCCUUGACUCUGGGAUAAGCCCGGGAAACUGGGUCUAAUACUGGAUGCUACAUGUCACCGCAUGGUGGUGUGUGGAAAGGGUUUACUGGUCUUGGAUGGGCUCACGGCCUAUCAGCUUGUUGGUGAGGUAAUGGCUCACCAAGGCGACGACGGGUAGCCGGCCUGAGAGGGUGACCGGCCACACUGGGACUGAGACACGGCCCAGACUCCUACGGGAGGCAGCAGUGGGGAAUAUUGCACAAUGGGCGAAAGCCUGAUGCAGCGACGCCGCGUGAGGGAUGACGGCCUUCGGGUUGUAAACCUCUUUCAGCAGGGAAGAAGCCACAAGUGACGGUACCUGCAGAAGAAGCGCCGGCUAACUACGUGCCAGCAGCCGCGGUAAUACGUAGGGCGCAAGCGUUGUCCGGAAUUAUUGGGCGUAAAGAGCUCGUAGGCGGUUUGUCGCGUCUGCUGUGAAAGCCCGGGGCUUAACCCCGGGUGUGCAGUGGGUACGGGCAGACUAGAGUGCAGUAGGGGAGACUGGAAUUCCUGGUGUAGCGGUGGAAUGCGCAGAUAUCAGGAGGAACACCGAUGGCGAAGGCAGGUCUCUGGGCUGUUACUGACGCUGAGGAGCGAAAGCAUGGGGAGCGAACAGGAUUAGAUACCCUGGUAGUCCAUGCCGUAAACGUUGGGCACUAGGUGUGGGGGACAUUCCACGUUUUCCGCGCCGUAGCUAACGCAUUAAGUGCCCCGCCUGGGGAGUACGGCCGCAAGGCUAAAACUCAAAGGAAUUGACGGGGGCCCGCACAAGCGGCGGAGCAUGCGGAUUAAUUCGAUGCAACGCGAAGAACCUUACCAAGGCUUGACAUAUACCGGAUCGUUCCAGAGAUGGUUCUUCCCCUUUGGGGUCGGUAUACAGGUGGUGCAUGGUUGUCGUCAGCUCGUGUCGUGAGAUGUUGGGUUAAGUCCCGCAACGAGCGCAACCCUCGUUCCAUGUUGCCAGCACGUGAUGGUGGGG
Molecule: ribosomal RNA, 1073 nt
Filed under: Kocuria palustris
Lineage: Bacteria; Bacillati; Actinomycetota; Actinomycetes; Micrococcales; Micrococcaceae
Description: bacterial SSU rRNA
Rfam family: Bacterial small subunit ribosomal RNA
Source: RNAcentral